CGCCAAAUCAUCAAAAUUCAACAAUAUCUUGAACCCUAAAAAAUUUCGAGAGCGAAGCGAAACGAAACCUCAAGCAAAGGUAAAGGAAUGAGAUCACCACGACAAGAAUCUAAAUUCUCCCCUAAAUCGGAGGAGAGGACGCUCACUCCCAGCCGACGAUCGUUCGAAGCUUUGUCCUUUCGUCGGAGAGCAGCUCCGACCUUCGCAGAAAGACGAGAUCGCCAAGAGAGCAAAAGGAGAGCCGAGAGGAGAGCGCGCGAGAGAGAAGACAGGAGUUAUGAGGUGCGAAACAGGGUGGUCUCGGCUUAUAUAGACGCCACCGACCCAGCCUUGUGUCAUAUCGUGAAAUCGUGCCGUUAUAUUCAACCGACCAAUGUGUACUGACGUUGAAACGUCCCGCUAUGUUUAACUAAUAAGGUAACGGCAUUGAAAUCGCACCGUUAUAUACACCUAAUCACCGUCAAAUUUCUGUUGCGUUAUAAUUUCCUCUGGAAUUCUGCCGUCGAAGAGGUAGCAACAAUUGCUUGUAAUUGACCGUUUCACUUCAACGAUAAAAUACGUUAGAGAACAGACUCAGACGGAAGUAGAAAUGAAAACAGAUCAUAU
RNAcentral lists this long non-coding RNA (606 nucleotides) under Musa acuminata (dwarf banana). Its description in RNAcentral is "long non-coding RNA (MACU_LNC000507)". The record is from RNAcentral. Lineage: Eukaryota; Viridiplantae; Streptophyta; Magnoliopsida; Zingiberales; Musaceae.